UUCAGGAUGUGGGUCCUCGUGAAAAUACAAAAAGAGUGAAAAAGGUGAUGACGUCAAUGUUUAAGGAAGGAUGCUACGUGGUAACAGUUCAAAGCCAACUGGUUGAAUGGUCUCAAGUUAUCUCCAAGCUUAUAUUUUAGCAUAGUCAUCAGACGUUUGCUUGCCUGCACACAAUAUAUGCACUCUUUCCACUUCCUGGGGAGUAUACUGGCAAGAACUUCCUAAUUCAAAUGCUAGGCAUCAAUCAUCUAUUAUACUGGAUGUAGUAUUGAACGUUGAUAUAGA
Long non-coding RNA from Lytechinus pictus (painted urchin), 285 nucleotides. RefSeq lists it as uncharacterized. The record is from RefSeq and is a predicted model, not a curated record. NCBI's taxonomy places the organism in Eukaryota, Metazoa, Echinodermata, Echinoidea, Temnopleuroida, Toxopneustidae. The transcript has 3 exons.